CCGGACGGCACGGGUGAGUAACACGUAUCCAACCUGCCGAUGACUCGGGGAUAGCCUUUCGAAAGAAAGAUUAAUACCCGAUGGCAUAGUUCUUCCGCAUGGUAGAACUAUUAAAGAAUUUCGGUCAUCGAUGGGGAUGCGUUCCAUUAGCUUGUUGGCGGGGUAACGGCCCACCAAGGCAUCGAUGGAUAGGGGUUCUGAGAGGAAGGUCCCCCACAUUGGAACUGAGACACGGUCCAAACUCCUACGGAAGGCAGCAG
This 260-nucleotide ribosomal RNA is filed under the name uncultured bacterium. Its description in RNAcentral is "partial 16S ribosomal RNA". It matches the Rfam family "Bacterial small subunit ribosomal RNA", at positions 93 to 354 of the family's 1533-position model. The record is from RNAcentral.